This 1253-nucleotide long non-coding RNA is filed under the name Chrysemys picta bellii (western painted turtle). Its description in RNAcentral is "lncRNA (ENSCPBG00000011790.1)". The record is from RNAcentral. Lineage: Eukaryota; Metazoa; Chordata; Testudines; Emydidae.
AUGUGUAUGUGCUUUGGGAAUAAAGUAAUCUGUAAAUAUAAAAAAAGGUUUGGGCAUAAAACAAUUUUUUCCUUGAAAUCAUUGUAUUAUUUUGAAGGAAUGUUCUCUAGGCUGUAUAAAUAUAUAUAUGCAUAUCACAUAUGCAGUCGUAAUAGCUAUAUGAUAAACUGCAAUAUAUCAUCCACUUUUCAUCACCUCACCUGUUCUCUGCCUAAUGAUUCAUUUACCUUGGGACUGUGUAUAAUACUCCAGAUCUUUGAGCAGUUUCUAAUGGCUACUUCCCUUUUUUUAAAUUUUAAUAGCAUAUUCAGAAUCCUCUUACAGUGCCAAGUGGUCAAAGCAGCUGUGUUGAUCAUCAGUCCAAGACUUCAUAUCAUUCAGUUAGAAAAUCAGCCAUGUACAUUACUAAGCUCCAAUAGUGCCCUCAUGUCUGAUCUGGAUAAUGUGCCAUCUGUGGGACAGUCUGAAGAGUUUACAAAACCACAUGAUAGUCCAUUACCACUCUGUGGAAAUGUGACUGAAAGGAAAAAACAUGCAACAUCUUGUAGAUCAAACACUGAUGCAGGUAUAGCGGAUUUUAAUAAAAAAGUGACCCCAAGUAAUGUGUCAGAUUGGAGCAUUGACAAGGGCAACACCACCAAUGAAAUGAGUGUGCAAGCAAAACCAAAUGUGUUGUCUCAUCCUGAUUCACCACUUCACCCUAGCAAUGAAUUUAAGACAAAUUCAAAUGAGGUCCAUUUUGGUAACCAGCUAAAGCCCGAGGAAACUGUUUAUGAUACUGAAAUGGAACUGACUGCCAGUGAUGUGGGUAAGAUACUCACAAUUACAUCAAAAGCCAAAAAUAAAAGGAAUAGUAAUGCCAAAACUGAUAAAAUUUCAGCAAAUUUGAGAAAAGUGAGGUAUUCAAACACAGGAAAAAAAGAUAAAGAGAAAAUUAAAAGCAAUCCUAAAGGCAGUUCAGAUUUUCAUAGUGAAAAAAGGCACAAAAAUACUGAAAAGAUUAUAGAUUCAAACACUAGUGAAUCAGACACUCCAAAGUUUCGGUUGGAGGCAGAACAGAUGGCUAAAAGGAAUGCUUUGGGAGAGCUGACACUACAAAGGACCGAUGAAUAUGAUGUACAGAAUUCCCAAUACAACGAUAAAGCUACCAGAAGGACGUAUCUAGUUAAUUUAGCAAGCCCAAGUAAACAACAAAAAACUGAUUUACAACAGAAAAUAAACAAACAAAUUCUCUCAGAAAGAUUAGAAAAUAU